RNAcentral lists this ribosomal RNA (546 nucleotides) under uncultured bacterium. Its description in RNAcentral is "partial 16S ribosomal RNA". It matches the Rfam family "Bacterial small subunit ribosomal RNA", at positions 356 to 893 of the family's 1533-position model. The record is from RNAcentral.
UGGGAAUUUUGGACAAUGGGCGAAAGCCUGAUCCAGCCAUGCCGCGUGCAGGAUGAAGGCCUUCGGGUUGUAAACUGCUUUUGUACGGAACGAAAAGACUCUGGUUAAUACCUGGGGUCCAUGACGGUACCGUAAGAAUAAGCACCGGCUAACUACGUGCCAGCAGCCGCGGUAAUACGUAGGGUGCAAGCGUUAAUCGGAAUUACUGGGCGUAAAGCGUGCGCAGGCGAUUAUAUAAGACAGAUGAGAAAUCCCCGGGCUCAACCUGGGAACUGCAUUUGUGACUGUAUAGCUAGAGUACGGCAGAGGGGGAUGGAAUUCCGCGUGUAGCAGUGAAAUGCGUAGAUAUGCGGAGGAACACCGAUGGCGAAGGCAAUCCCCUGGGCCUGUACUGACGCUCAUGCACGAAAAGCGUGGGGAGCAAACAGGAUUAGAUACCCUGGUAGUCCACGCCCUAAAACGAUGUCAACUGGUUGUUGGGUCUUCACUGACUCAGUAACGAAGCUAACGCGUGAAGUUGACCGCCUGGGGAGUGCGGCCGCAAGG